GACGAACGCUGGCGGCGUGCUUAAUACAUGCAAGUCAUAGGGGCUAAUUUCCUUCGGGAGAUUGGUCACUGGCGCACGGGUGCGUAACGCGUAAGUUAUCUGCCCUUGGGUCUGGCAUAACGUCGGGAAACCGGCGCUAAUUCCAGAUGAUAUCGUAAGAUCAAAGCCUUCGGGCGCCCAAGGAUGAGCUUGCGUCUGAUUAGCUUGUUGGCGGGGUAAUGGCCCACCAAGGCAACGAUCAGUAGCCGGUCUGAGAGGAUGAUCGGCCACAUUGGGACUGAGACACGGCCCAGACUCCUACGGGAGGCAGCAGUAAGGAAUAUUGCGCAAUGGACGAAAGUCUGACGCAGCAACGCCGCGUGCAGGAUGAAGGCCCUUUGGGUUGUAAACUGCUGUAGAAAGGGAAUAAUAGUUUGCCACGGGUGAACUUGAAGGUACCUUUAAGUAAGCGCCGGCUAACUACGUG
Molecule: ribosomal RNA, 466 nt
Filed under: uncultured bacterium
Lineage: Bacteria
Description: bacterial SSU rRNA
Rfam family: Bacterial small subunit ribosomal RNA
Source: RNAcentral